RNAcentral lists this ribosomal RNA (465 nucleotides) under uncultured bacterium. RNAcentral's name for it is "partial 16S ribosomal RNA". It matches the Rfam family "Bacterial small subunit ribosomal RNA", at positions 28 to 507 of the family's 1533-position model. The record is from RNAcentral.
GACGAACGCUGGCGGCGUGCUUAACACAUGCAAGUCGAACGGAAAGGCCCUGCUUGCGGGGUGCUCGCGUGGCGAACGGGUGAGUAACACGUGGGUGAUCUGCCCUGCACUUCGGGGUAAGACUGGGAAAAUGGGUCUAAUACCGGAUAGGAGCCCUUUUGAGUGUGAUGGUUGGAAAGUUUUUUCGGUGGAGGAUGAGCUGGCGGCCUAUCAGCUUGUUGGUGGGGUGAUGGGCUACCAAGGCGGCGACGGGUAGCCGGCCUGGGGGGGUGGACGGCCACAAUGGGAACUGGAUACGGCCCCGACGCCUACGGGGGGCAGCCGUGGGGAAUAUUGCAAAAUGGGGGCAAGCCUGAUGCAGCGACGCCGCGUGGGGGAUGACGGCCUUCGGGUUGUAAACUCCUUUCGCUAGGGACGAAACUUUGUGUGACGGUACCUAGAUAAGAAGCACCGGCUAACUACGUG